RNAcentral lists this ribosomal RNA (443 nucleotides) under uncultured bacterium. Its description in RNAcentral is "partial 16S ribosomal RNA". It matches the Rfam family "Bacterial small subunit ribosomal RNA", at positions 338 to 795 of the family's 1533-position model. The record is from RNAcentral.
CCUACGGGAGGCAGCAGUGGGGAAUAUUGGGCAAUGGGCGCAAGCCUUACCCAGCAACGCCGCGUGAAGGAAGAAGGCUUUCGGGUUGUAAACUUCUUUUCUCAGGGACGAAGCAAGUGACGGUACCUGAGGAAUAAGCCACGGCUAACUACGUGCCAGCAGCCGCGGUAAUACGUAGGUGGCAAGCGUUAUCCGGAUUUACUGGGGGUAAAGGGGGUGUAGGCGGGAAAGCAAGUCAGAGGUGAAAACCAUGGGCUUAACCUGUGGGCUGCAUUUAAAACUGUUUUUCUUGAGUACUGGAGAGGCAGACGGAAUUCCUAGUGUAGCGGUGAAAUGCGUAGAUAUUAGGAGGAACACCAGUGGCGAAGGCGGUCUGCUGGACUGCAACUGACGCUGAGGCGCGAAAGCGUGGGGAGCAAACAGGAUUAGAUACCCCAGUAGUC